Molecule: long non-coding RNA, 4504 nt
Organism: Sciurus carolinensis (gray squirrel)
Lineage: Eukaryota; Metazoa; Chordata; Mammalia; Rodentia; Sciuridae
Exons: 12
Source: RefSeq, a predicted model, not a curated record
GGGACCUUGUCUGAAUAUAAUGAUUUCAGAAUUUGAGCUUAAGUUUACAAUCUGAAAUCCAGUCAUUGUGCCUCACUAUACAUUUUAGAGCACAUUAUUCUUAACAAAAUCUUGAUUUUUUUUUUUUUUGUGAAAAUUUAGAACACAUAGAUAUGGCUAUUCUAGUAUAGUACUUUGCCAUUUCUUCAAAUGUUCUUUAUUUUCAUUGAUAUUCUGAGGUAAUUCUUUUUUUCUGAACUUUGUAUGUUGUUGAAAGCUAAAAGGGAAGAUCUUGGAUCACAGAAGGUAACAGGCACCUGGUGAGAUGGAAGUAAGGAUGUGUAAAAAUGAAACUAUCAACUCUUGAAAACAAAGAGUACCAGAGUCCUAGGGUUCUAAGUGAUGUCCAGGCAUGAAAGAGUAUUUGUGGAGCAUAUAUUAUGGAUCACAGUAUCUGUAAAAAACCAGAAGAAAUUUAUAGCCCUUGGAAGCAGGGAGGCUCUUUAAAUCUUUUGAUGGAGCUUGUCCAAAUAAGUGGUGCUACUCUGAAUAACUGGGAAAGAAGAGUCCAAGUUAGGAAUACUACAUGCACAGAACUGUUGAAUAUGGAAUUUUAUUAAGGCUGCUGCAUGUAUGGAACUCAUGGAUAUAUGUAUGUUUUUCAAAUGUCUUGCUGUUAAAAUAUGUGUGAUAUGAUGUUUCCUUUACAUGAUGCAGUUGCAGAAGAUAUCAAACUCUAUGAACAUUAACAUUGAGAAUCAGCUUUUUUAGAUGCAUGUGAGUUGAUGAGAAGUGGAGAGAAAACAUUUUUCUUUUAAUGAGGCCCUUGUGAAUGAUUUUUUUCAAUGAUUUCAUGAAGAAUAUGCAACUUAAGACAAUAAAUAGUAUUGGAUUAUCCAAGAAAAGAAGGAAGAAGAUGGAAUUUAGGUAUUUGUGAUGAAAGACUGUUGAGGGUAACCAGAGUACGGCUGAUGAACUCAUGUGGAAUUAUUUUUCUUUGGAGUCCUUAAUUUAUAGGUCUUAACUGCAAAUCAUAGAUGAUAAUUUCAAGCAGGAAAACUUCUGUCAUCUUUGGUUUUAAUCCUGUGAAUGAUAGGUACCAUCAGUGAAAGAUCUGUUGAAAUAGUUUGAUUCACGUGUUCUUCAUUUCUGCCUCUCUGGAAUACUCCCUUUCGGUGAUUACUGAAGAGGAACUUAUGCCAUUAUUUCUACCACCUUCUUCAUCAAAACUAAAAUAUUUCCUGCAUAAUGAAUGGAGACUUGUUACUUAAUGGCCACUCAGAAGAACUGGACUUAGAAAGCUCAUUUUUGAAAUGAGACCUAAAAUUUAGCCCAGAAAACUCUUAUUACCUAGUAAUAUUAAUUGUUUUUCUUGUUGAUGUUGGACUUUAUCUCAGGAAGUGCAAUGGAAGAAACAUUUGUGUCCAGAGAAGUUUAGAAUGGUGGAAUUUCAAGGGCUUCAUCUCAUUGUUUCCAUAAGUAUGAAGUGCAUGCAUUUAUAAUUAUCACUUAUGACAGGAUAAUUUGAACCUGACUUUAAAAUAUUAAAGGUUGUAGAAUCUUGUGAAGCAGUUUUCUUUUCUUCCCCUCCUUUGGUACUGAGAAAUAUGACCCCAGUGUUCUUUCUUUUUUUUUUUUUCAGAUGUUGAUUGACCUUUAUUUUAUUCAUUUAUUUAUAUGUGGUGCUGAGACUUAAACUCAAUUCCUCACAUAUGCUAGGCAAGCAUUGUACCACUGAGCCACAACCCCAGUCAACCCCAGAGUUCUUUAUCACUAGGCUUCAUCCCCAGUCCUUAUUAUUUUGAGACAGUGUCUUGCUUAGUUGCUGAGGGCAUUGCUAAAUUGCUGAGACUGACUUUACUUAAACUUGCAUCCUCCUGCCUCAGCCUUCGAGUCUCUGGGAUUACAGGGACACACCACUAUGCCCAGCUAAUACUUUUGUUUGUUAAAUUUCUUUCUCCUUCUAAUUUUAAACCCUAAUAUUAUCUGCUAUUAAAUGGAGUCUUCUCAUCCUUAGGAUGUUUUUUCAUAGGCAAACUGAUACUAUUUUUUCAUUAUUAAUUUAAUUAGCUAUGUAUUUUCUAUGUAUAUGUAUAUUUUUUAUUUAUUUUCUAUAAGGUAAACAUCCUUAUAUAUAAAUUUGAAUUUUUCAGCUACUUUGGAAUAAUUUCUGUGGACUGGAAUUGCCGGGGGAAAGUAUAUGCAAAAUCUACAAUUGAGUAAAAAUUUCCUCCUAAUUGGAAAUUUUCCCUGUCUGUACUUGCAUUUUUUUUCUCAGUUGAUGCUUACAAUUACUUUGCAAGUUGGAAAAAUGCAGUUUUAAUUUCACUUGCACCAAAUUUAAUAGAUUAAUUACAGAAUAGAUCACUUUAAAAUUGAGUCUUCCUUAUCCAACUUCAAGCCUCUUCCACAGACAAGGACCCAAGAGAGCUUCCUUAAGGUGGUGACUGUGUGGACGAGUACAACAUAUAUACUUCUGCAGUGGUUCCAUCCACACCAUCACCCAAAUACUGCCAUUAUUUCUUCUUUGUUGGAUCUUACUGCAUCUUUAUAUCUCACAACUUUGAUAGAAGUAUGCACAGGAAUAGAAGUGACCUGCUUUUUGCAAAGUAAUUUCCUGGAAUAUUAAGUAAUUCUCUCUGCUCUCAGUGUAUUUGUGGUUCCCUCUAAUGUUGUAUAUUAUUCAUUGUGUUUUUAUUCAUAUUUUACUUUAGAAGAUACAUUUGUGUGUGGGAAGUAUAAUUUAGGCAACAGCAUGGUUGCCCCGCAUAGUAGCUUGAUUUUCUCACUACCUGAGUGCCUUGUCUGAACCAGUUUUGUUUUCAUUGGUAAGAUAUAUUCUUCCUCAUUUGAAUCACAAGUCCACAGUUAGGCAUAUCCUAAAAAAAAUCUUUAAACACUUGUAUUAUCUGAACUAAGCCCUCUAGUUACCUUUUUUUGUUAAACCUACUAGGUCUCACUCUGGGUCAGGAUUUGUGACUGAUUGUAGUUCACCCCUUCUCCAGUGUUCAGAUCUAAGAUGUGGAUGCCAAAAAACUGGCUAUGUGAGGGAAUACUAGAUUCCUGAACUGAUAUUUUGAACCAUGUUGUAAUGCUAUCUUGUAGAAUAUGUGGUUCCAUCAUUUUCCUGGUAUCACUAAUAUUCUCUUCUUUGGGUUGGAGUAAAAAGUUCAGUGUCCUAAUUUUCAUUUGUAUUCUGCUUCAUCUAAGGGAGGCUGAUGUAAAAUAUGAAUUAUUUGAAAUGUUAAUAUCUGCUUCUGGAACAUAAAUGGGAGCUACUGACUGCAUUGCUCCACCUGUCUUAAUAAAUAGGUAUAUACAAAGAGUUAUCCAAUAAUAUUCUGUCAGUAUGCCAGUGUUAGCAGUAAAAACCAUUGCGAGAAUUUUAAGACUUUGAUAAUUACUUUCUUUCAUAGUCUAUUAAAUAUUUCAACAGAAGAUUUAAUAGGUUAAAAAUGUCUUCAAUAUGUACUGUCAUCUGUGUCACCAUUCUUAUUAUAUUAUUCUGUUCUUUUAGUUUUAUUAUGAGGUUUGACUUGUAUUCUUUUACAAUAUUCAUUUAUUUUACAUGUGAAGUUUCUUUUAUAUUUCCAAAGCUAAAUUAAUCUAUCUGAAAUUAUUUUCCAAAUUCAGAAUGAUCUCCUUAGUAGAAGAUCAGUGUUCUAAUCACACAGCUUCAUGUUACAUGAAUCAAAGGAUAUACCCAAUCAAAAAAAAAUACUCAACAAUAUGGUAUUUUUAGCCUGUGUUAGGGGUCAGCAAACAUUGUCUGUAAGAGAACAGAAUUAAUAAAUCAUACAGUUAGUUGUAAAUAUGAAACUCUGCCACUAAUGUGAAAGCAGCUGUGACUGAUUCAAAUGUGUGUUAGUAUGUUCUAAUAAAAUGUAUUCACAAAGAAUAGGUGGUGGGCCAGAUUUGGACCACAGGGUUUCAUUUGCUGACCCCUGACCAAAAACAUACGUUUAAUUUUAUUGUUGAGAAAAUACAGAAACCUGAAGGGAAAGAAUAUCAUGUCUUUACUUGUCAGUUUUCAGAAACCUCUACUUUAUGAAAUGUAAGUUUAAAAAAUGAAGGAAGUAUAUAUUUUAUGUUUUUAUUAGAGGGUCAUUAUAGUUAUAUGUAAUAUUGGGAGUCAUUUUUACAUCAUCAUGCAUGCAUGGGAUAUGGCUCUACUUCAGAUAUAAAGCUAAGUUGAGUGUUAUCUAUUUUUCUUAGCCUCCUUUGCCCUUAAACUGUAGUACAUUGAAAUGUGGCCACCAAGACUUAAUGUCAUUCAGUAAUAUAUAGCAGAAUGAGAUGAUCAUCUUUCUUUCAUCUUACAUCUUUAUUUCCUAGUUUUACAAGAGUUGACCAUUUGUGGCAUAUAAAGUGGUCUAUGACUUUUCCAAGCUUUUGUAAGCUUACAUGUAAUUUAUUUUCAAUUUAUUUACAAAUGUGUGAUCAUUAUGGCAAGAUGUUAUUUUGUAACUUUCUGUUUCUUCUAUCAUGGACAUGUUUCUAAAUCAAUAAACAGUUUACCUACAGA